UAGGACGAACGCUGGCGGCGUGCCUAACACAUGCAAGUCGAGCGAGGAGAUCCUUCGGGAUGAUCCUAGCGGCGGACGGGUGAGUAACACGUGGGCAACCUGCCUCAUAGAGAGGAAUAGCCUUCCGAAAGGGAGAUUAAUACCUCAUAACAUUGCAGUUUCGCAUGAAACAGCAAUUAAAGGAGCAAUCCGCUAUGAGAUGGGCCCGCGGCGCAUUAGCUAGUUGGUGAGGUAACGGCUCACCAAGGCGACGAUGCGUAGCCGACCUGAGAGGGUGAUCGGCCACAUUGGGACUGAGACACGGCCCAGACUCCUACGGGAGGCAGCAGUGGGGAAUAUUGCACAAUGGGGGAAACCCUGAUGCAGCCAACGCCGCGUGAGUGAUGACGGCCUUCGGGUUGUAAAGCUCUGUCUUCAGGGACGAUAAUGACGGUACCUGAGGAGGAAGCCACGGCUAACUACGUGCCAGCAGCAGC
This 476-nucleotide ribosomal RNA is filed under the name uncultured bacterium. RNAcentral describes it as "bacterial SSU rRNA". It matches the Rfam family "Bacterial small subunit ribosomal RNA", at positions 26 to 518 of the family's 1533-position model. The record is from RNAcentral.